This 463-nucleotide ribosomal RNA is filed under the name Candidatus Bathyarchaeota archaeon. RNAcentral's name for it is "bacterial SSU rRNA". It matches the Rfam family "Archaeal small subunit ribosomal RNA", at positions 1 to 443 of the family's 1478-position model. Lineage: Archaea; Thermoproteati; Candidatus Bathyarchaeota. The record is from RNAcentral.
ACUCCGGUUGAUCCUGCCGGACCCCACUGCUAUCGGGGUGGGACUAAGCCAUGCGAGUCGGCGCCCUCCAGCCACCGGGGAGGGCGCGGCGGACGGCUCCGUAACACGUAGCUAACCUACCCUCAGGACGGGAAUAACCCCGGGAAACUGGGGCUAAUUCCCGAUAGGUGAGGAGGCCUGGAAUGGUCCCUCACCAAAAGGGUCCUGGAACCAUGCUUCCAGGGCCGCCUGAGGAUGGGGCUGCGGCCGAUCAGGUAGUUGGUGGGGUAACGGCCCACCAAGCCUAUAACCGGUACGGGCCGUGAGAGCGGGAGCCCGGAGAUGGGCACUGAGACAAGGGCCCAGGCCCUACGGGGCGCAGCAGGCGCGAAACCUCCGCAAUGCGCUCACGCGUGACGGGGUCACCCCGAGUGCCCCGAAGAGGGGCUUUUCCCCGCUGUAACUAGGCGGGGGAAUAAGCAGG